Molecule: long non-coding RNA, 482 nt
Filed under: Ricinus communis (castor bean)
Lineage: Eukaryota; Viridiplantae; Streptophyta; Magnoliopsida; Malpighiales; Euphorbiaceae
Description: long non-coding RNA (RCOM_LNC002406)
Source: RNAcentral
AAGUUGUUGUCAUCUUUGAUUUGCAAUUCUCAUUUUGGCACAGUGGUAUAGUUUUCCCUUGUUAUCCCUACUUGAUUUUUCUUAUGCUCUUUGCUCGAUUGUUAUACUUUUCAAUUCAUUUUUACUUCAAAAUAUGAAUUAUUUUCAAAUUUUCUAUAAAAGCACGAGAGUUAGUGACUUUAUCACUUAUCACAAACACCAAAAAGGAAAGGCUUGAGACAACAAUUCACAUCCAUAAGAAGCAAAUUGGACCGAUGGAGGAAGCCUAUCUGGAAAGAAUCGACUUCUUCCAUCUCUCUUUUGCAACUCCAGCAGCUUCUCUUUUUUCUUACCUACAUCUGUCAGGCGACAAAUUUCUAAAGGACUUCGGCGGGCUCGAGCAGCACAAGGCCAUGACAGCCAUCAAGAAAGCUGCCAGGGGACGUAUAAGUUACAUUAAUUAAUAAUAUCACAUCACCUAAAGUAAUUGUUUUCAACUUACC